Hibiscus syriacus is the source of this 145-nucleotide long non-coding RNA. RefSeq lists it as uncharacterized. The record is from RefSeq and is a predicted model, not a curated record. The transcript has 2 exons. Lineage: Eukaryota; Viridiplantae; Streptophyta; Magnoliopsida; Malvales; Malvaceae.
UAUAGGGCAAAACAACAUCCAUAAGAUUUAUGAAGAAAUAGAAUGUGAUAAGUAGAAAAAUAGUUUAGGUACAUACGUUAGUGAUUUCCCUCUAAAAACUAUAGGGGGAGCCACAGCAGCAAAGAUGCAGAAGCCGAUGUGAACC